GCUCAGGACGAACGCUGGCGGCGUGCCUAAUACAUGCAAGUGGAACGCACUUAUAUCACCGGAGCUUGCUCCACCGAUGUAAGUGAGUCGCGAACGGGUGAGUAACGCGUAGGUAACCUGCCUCAUAGCGGGGGAUAACUAUUGGAAACGAUAGCUAAUACCGCAUAAUAGUAUUUACCGCAUGGUAGAUGCUUGAAAGGAGCAAUUGCUUCACUAUGAGAUGGACCUGCGUUGUAUUAGCUAGUUGGUGGGGUAACGGCUCACCAAGGCAUCGAUACAUAGCCGACCUGAGAGGGUGAUCGGCCACACUGGGACUGAGACACGGCCCAGACUCCUACGGGAGGCAGCAGUAGGGAAUCUUCGGCAAUGGGGGGAACCCUGACCGAGCAACGCCGCGUGAGUGAAGAAGGUUUUCGGAUCGUAAAGCUCUGUUGUAAGAGAAGAACAGUGAGAAGAGUGGAAAGUUCUCACA
RNAcentral lists this ribosomal RNA (472 nucleotides) under Streptococcus suis. RNAcentral's name for it is "bacterial SSU rRNA". It matches the Rfam family "Bacterial small subunit ribosomal RNA", at positions 22 to 469 of the family's 1533-position model. The record is from RNAcentral. RNAcentral also lists the same sequence under 1 other name. Lineage: Bacteria; Bacillati; Bacillota; Bacilli; Lactobacillales; Streptococcaceae.